Non-coding RNA from Phascolarctos cinereus (koala), 238 nucleotides. The record is from RefSeq and is a predicted model, not a curated record. Lineage: Eukaryota; Metazoa; Chordata; Mammalia; Diprotodontia; Phascolarctidae.
CUCUCUUCCCUUUUCUCCCUCCUACUCUUUCUUUGCCAAUUGCCCUUAGCACAUGGCCGCUGUCAGCUGGAGUGGUGUUGAGAGAAAACCUGCAGCGGCCUUGCAGAUAAGCCACAUGCCUGAUGUCAACGUGAUCUCACCAGAGAACAAUGGAAAUGAAAAUGCCAGAAUCAAGAAACAAGGAUUUGCUUUGGCUUUCAUCUGAAACACACUUAGUAGAAUUCCUUCUUCCCCCUUG